RNAcentral lists this non-coding RNA (26 nucleotides) under Homo sapiens (human). Lineage: Eukaryota; Metazoa; Chordata; Mammalia; Primates; Hominidae. The record is from RNAcentral.
CUGGACUAGCACGGGUAGAUGGAGAA